GGGGUUGAGUAGAUUUUGAAUCAGCAGCAUAAGUGUUCUGCCUCUAUGGAUAUCCACAAGGUCGAUCUGAAUUAUCUCCUCUUGAAUCCUACUUCCUUGAACCGAAGGCCUGAAUAGGCUUGAACGAAGUUUGGAUAUACUUGAUUGAAAUCAUCCCAAAACUGAUCUUUCUUUCUUGAUUCUUAAAGAAACCAAGAACCUUUCUUGAUCCCUUAAUUAACCAAGAAGAACUACUAUCCAGAAGUGGUUGUAACAAUCUCCCAA
RNAcentral lists this long non-coding RNA (264 nucleotides) under Elaeis guineensis (African oil palm). RNAcentral describes it as "long non-coding RNA (EGUI_LNC036551)". Lineage: Eukaryota; Viridiplantae; Streptophyta; Magnoliopsida; Arecales; Arecaceae. The record is from RNAcentral.